RNAcentral lists this ribosomal RNA (253 nucleotides) under uncultured bacterium. Its description in RNAcentral is "partial 16S ribosomal RNA". It matches the Rfam family "Bacterial small subunit ribosomal RNA", at positions 524 to 776 of the family's 1533-position model. The record is from RNAcentral.
UACGUAGGGUGCAAGCGUUGUCCGGAUUCAUUGGGCGUAAAGAGCGUGUAGGCGGCCAGGUAGGUCGGUUGUGAAAACUGGAGGCUCAACCUUCAGAGGUCGACCGAAACCAUCUGGCUAGAGUCCGGGAGAGGAGAGUGGAAUUCCUGGUGUAGCUGUGAAAUGCGCAGAUAUCAGGAAGAACACCCGUGGCGAAAGCGGCUCUCUGGAACGGUACUGACGCUGAGACGCGAAAGCGUGGGGAGCGAACAGG